GUCCACGCUGUAAACGAUGAUGACUAACCGUCGGCGAUACACAGUCGGUGGCCAAGCGAAAGCGAUAAGUCAUCCACCUGGGGAGUACGACCGCAAGGUUGAAACUCAAAGGAAUUGACGGGGGGCCCGCACAAGCGGAGGAACAUGUGGUUUAAUUCGAUGAUACGCGAGGAACCUUACCCUGGCUCGAACGGCAGAUGAAUUGAGUAGAGAUAUUCAAGUCUUCGGACAUCUGUCGAGGUGCUGCAUGGUUGUCGU
Molecule: ribosomal RNA, 258 nt
Filed under: uncultured bacterium
Lineage: Bacteria
Description: partial 16S ribosomal RNA
Rfam family: Bacterial small subunit ribosomal RNA
Source: RNAcentral